RNAcentral lists this signal recognition particle RNA (100 nucleotides) under Actinomycetota bacterium. RNAcentral's name for it is "signal recognition particle sRNA small type". It matches the Rfam family "Bacterial small signal recognition particle RNA". Rfam says of the family: The signal recognition particle (SRP) is a universally conserved ribonucleoprotein involved in the co-translational targeting of proteins to membranes. Archaeal SRP consists of a 7S RNA and homologues of the eukaryotic SRP19 and SRP54 proteins. Lineage: Bacteria; Bacillati; Actinomycetota. The record is from RNAcentral.
GGUUGGGUCCUGCGCAACUGCGCCCCGUGAACCGAGUCAGGGCCGGAAGGCAGCAGCUCUCAGCGGAAGGCGCGGUGUGCCGCAGUCCAGCCUGACCGUC